Molecule: small nuclear RNA, 109 nt
Filed under: Diabrotica virgifera virgifera (western corn rootworm)
Lineage: Eukaryota; Metazoa; Arthropoda; Insecta; Coleoptera; Chrysomelidae
Source: RNAcentral
UCAUCGAUUCGGCGGUAAAUAUACUAAAAUUGGAACGAUACAGAGAAGAUUAGCCUGCCCCCUGCGCAAGGAUAAAAUAAAUAUUGUUUGACUUCGUAUGUUGAUUUUU